Saccostrea echinata is the source of this 229-nucleotide long non-coding RNA. RefSeq lists it as uncharacterized. The record is from RefSeq and is a predicted model, not a curated record. The transcript has 4 exons. Lineage: Eukaryota; Metazoa; Mollusca; Bivalvia; Ostreida; Ostreidae.
UCAGGUUGCAUCAUCAAUAUAUCAAGUGUAUUGUCUACUGUCACAUCGAAGAUCCCUGGAAAUUGUUCUUAUUCCAUGUCCAAGGCAGCCAUGGAUGCCUUCACUCGAGGAUUAGAACAUGAGUUAGCGCCCUUUGGAGUGCGAGCAAAUACUACAAGGCCUGGACUCAUACGAAGCAAUUUUCUGAGACGUGAUAACGUUCCUGGUUUAGGAUAUGAAGAAUCAUACA